GACGAACGCUGGCGGCGUGCUUAACACAUGCAAGUCGAACGGAAAGGCCCUGCUUGCAGGGUUCUCGAGUGGCGAACGGGUGAGUAACACGUGGGUGAUCUGCCCUGCACUUCGGGAUAAGCCUGGGCAACUGGGCCUAAUACCGGAUAGGAGCUAUUUUUAGUGUGAUGGUUGGAAAGUUUUUUCGGUGUAGGAUGAGCUCGCGGCCUAUCAGCUUGUUGGUGGGGUAAUGGCCUACCAAGGCGGCGACGGGUAGCCGGCCUGAGGGGGUGGACGGCCACAUUGGGACUGAGGGACGGCACAGACAGCUACGGGAGGCAGAAGGGGGAAAGAUUGCACGAUGGGCGCAAGCCUGGUGCAGCGGGGCCGCGGGGGGGAUGACGGCCUUCGGGUUGUAGACCCCAUUCGCUAGGGACGAAGCAUUUUGUGACGGUACCUAGAUAAGAAGCCCCGGCUAACUACGUG
This 465-nucleotide ribosomal RNA is filed under the name uncultured bacterium. RNAcentral describes it as "partial 16S ribosomal RNA". It matches the Rfam family "Bacterial small subunit ribosomal RNA", at positions 28 to 507 of the family's 1533-position model. The record is from RNAcentral.